GACGUAGGGCGCGAGCGUUUGUCCGGAUUUAUUGGGCGUAAAGAGCUCGUAGGCGGCUUGUCGCGUCGAAUGUGAAAACUCGGGGCUCAACUCCGAGCUUGCAUUCGAUACGGGCAGGCUAGAGUUCGGUAGGGGAGACUGGAAUUCCUGGUGUAGCGGUGAAAUGCGCAGAUAUCAGGAGGAACACCGGUGGCGAAGGCGGGUCUCUGGGCAGUAACUGACGCUGAGGAGCGAAAGCGUGGGGAGCGAACAGG
This 254-nucleotide ribosomal RNA is filed under the name uncultured bacterium. Its description in RNAcentral is "partial 16S ribosomal RNA". It matches the Rfam family "Bacterial small subunit ribosomal RNA", at positions 524 to 776 of the family's 1533-position model. The record is from RNAcentral.